RNAcentral lists this ribosomal RNA (234 nucleotides) under uncultured Acaulosporaceae. RNAcentral describes it as "partial 18S ribosomal RNA". It matches the Rfam family "Eukaryotic small subunit ribosomal RNA", at positions 569 to 806 of the family's 1831-position model. Lineage: Eukaryota; Fungi; Glomeromycota; Glomeromycetes; Diversisporales; Acaulosporaceae. The record is from RNAcentral.
AGCAGCCGCGGUAAUUCCAGCUCCAAUAGCGUAUAUUAAAGUUGUUGCAGUUAAAAAGCUCGUAGUUGAAUUUCGGAGUUUGUCGGUUGGUCGGGCUUCAUUGUCCGCACUGACCUGAUGGAUUCCUACCUUCUGAAUAACCAGCAUGCUAUUAAGUUAGUGCGUUGGGGAAGCAGAGCUAUUACCUUAGAAAAAAUUAGAGUGCUUAAAGCAGGCUUAUGCUUGAAUAGAUUA